AUGGAGCACGCCGCGUGAGUGAAGAAGGGUUUCGGCUCGUAAAACUCUGUUGUUAAAGAAGAACAUAUCUGAGAGUAACUGUUCAGGUAUUGACGGUAUUUAACCAGAAAGCCACGGCUAACUACGUGCCAGCAGCCGCGGUAAUACGUAGGUGGCAAGCGUUGUCCGGAUUUAUUGGGCGUAAAGCGAGCGCAGGCGGUUUUUUAAGUCUGAUGUGAAAGCCUUCGGCUCAACCGAAGAAGUGCAUCGGAAACUGGGAAACUUGAGUGCAGAAGAGGACAGUGGAACUCCAUGUGUAGCGGUGAAAUGCGUAGAUAUAUGGAAGAACACCAGUGGCGAAGGCGGCUGUCUGGUCUGUAACUGACGCUGAGGCUCGAAAGUAUGGGUAGCAAACAGGAUUAGAUACCCUGGUAGUCCAUACCGUAAACGAUGAAUGCUAAGUGUUGGAGGGUUUCCGCCCUUCAGUGCUGCAGCUAACGCAUUAAGCAUUCCGCCUGGGGAGUACGGCCGCAAGGCUGAAACUCAAAGGAAUUGACGGGGGCCCGCACAAGCGGUGGAGCAUGUGGUUUAAUUCGAAGCUACGCGAAGAACCUUACCAGGUCUUGACAUACUAUGCAAAUCUAAGAGAUUAGACGUUCCCUUCGGGGACAUGGAUACAGGUGGUGCAUGGUUGUCGUCAGCUCGUGUCGUGAGAUGUUGGGUUAAGUCCCGCAACGAGCGCAACCCUUAUUAUCAGUUGCCAGCAUUAAGUUGGGCACUCUGGUGAGACUGCCGGUGACAAACCGGAGGAAGGUGGGGAUGACGUCAAAUCAUCAUGCCCCUUAUGACCUGGGCUACACACGUGCUACAAUGGAUGGUACAACGAGUUGCGAACUCGCGAGAGUAAGCUAAUCUCUUAAAGCCAUUCUCAGUUCGGAUUGUAGGCUGCAACUCGCCUACAUGAAGUCG
RNAcentral lists this ribosomal RNA (948 nucleotides) under Lactiplantibacillus plantarum. Its description in RNAcentral is "bacterial SSU rRNA". It matches the Rfam family "Bacterial small subunit ribosomal RNA", at positions 386 to 1328 of the family's 1533-position model. The record is from RNAcentral. Lineage: Bacteria; Bacillati; Bacillota; Bacilli; Lactobacillales; Lactobacillaceae.